RNAcentral lists this long non-coding RNA (519 nucleotides) under Capra hircus (goat). RNAcentral describes it as "lncRNA (ENSCHIG00010013005.1)". Lineage: Eukaryota; Metazoa; Chordata; Mammalia; Artiodactyla; Bovidae. The record is from RNAcentral.
AUGCCAAACCGCAGUGGCAGUCAAUACAGGUCAGUAAUUGUGUCAGCAUUUUGUUUAAAUGCCAACUGGGUUUCUCAGCAUUUUGCCCAUAAUUCAAAAUACAGCUUAGUAACCUCGGAAAUGUAUUUUAAGACCAUGCUAAUUCAUCCUUUAAAGACAUUUCAUGGAAAAAAAAAAAAAAAGUCCACAUUAGCUCUUAGGAUUGUAUUUGAAGUUAUGGUUGAAAAACAAAAUCUAAUUCUACUGAGGGGAAAAAGAAAUCUCAUUUGUAAACUUAAAUGUGUGAACCACAAGCAUAAAUGGAGGUGUAGUUGCCCUCCACUGGAAAUUGCCCCAAGCCCCUUGCUCACUGCUCUCCACCUUGGCAGCGAUGACCCAAUCUUAUCAGUUAGCACAUGUCCCAGGGCCCUCAAGCCUCCAUCCAGGAAGGGGGCUGGGGUCUCAAAAGCACAAUGGUUUCUCCAGAGGGACUGUGACAUUUACAGUCAGCUUGGCCGACCCUUCCAGUUCCUCGGGUGA